ACUCUGGGAUAAGCCUGGGAAACCGGGUCUAAUACUGGAUACGACCUUCCCGCGCAUGCGGUGUUGGUGGAAAGCUUUUGUGGUUUUGGAUGGACUCGCGGCCUAUCAGCUUGUUGGUGGGGUAAUGGCCUACCAAGGCGACGACGGGUAGCCGGCCUGAGAGGGUGACCGGCCACACUGGGACUGAGACACGGCCCAGACUCCUACGGGAGGCAGCAGUGGGGAAUAUUGCACAAUGGGCGCAAGCCUGAUGCAGCGACGCCGCGUGAGGGAUGAAGGCCUUCGGGUUGUAAACCUCUUUCAGUAGGGAAGAAGCUGGUCCUUUGGGG
RNAcentral lists this ribosomal RNA (329 nucleotides) under uncultured bacterium. Its description in RNAcentral is "bacterial SSU rRNA". It matches the Rfam family "Bacterial small subunit ribosomal RNA", at positions 135 to 464 of the family's 1533-position model. The record is from RNAcentral.